UUGAAGUCCGUGAGCUGUGCAUCAAGAAAAGCCGCUAUUGUUCAUACCAUACCCGUACCGUAAACCGACACAGGUGGAUGAGGAGAGAAUCCUAAGGCCGGCGGAAGAAGCAUUGUCAAGGAACUCGGCAAAAUGACCCCGUAACUUCGGGAGAAGGGGUGCCUGCGAGAGCAGGCCGCAGAGAAUAGGCUCAAGCAACUGUUUAGCAAAAACACAGGUCUAUGCGAAACCGAAAGGUGAGGUAUAUGGGCUGACGCCUGCCCGGUGCUGGAAGGUUAAGAGGAGAGGUUAGCGGUAACGCGAAGCUUUGAAUUUAAGCCCCAGUAAACGGCGGCCGUAACCAUAACGGUCCUAAGGUAGCGAAAUUCCUUGUCGGGUAAGUUCCGACCCGCACGAAAGGCGUAAUGAUUUGAGCGCUGUCUCGACAAUGCAUCCGGUGAAAUUGAAGUACCAGUGAAGAUGCUGGUUACCUGCGCCAGAACGGAAAGACCCCAUGGAGCUUUACUCCAGUUUGGUACUGGGAUCCGGUACUGCAUGUACAGGAUAGGUGGGAGGCUAUGAAUCGGUAACGCCAGUUGCCGAGGAGCCGCUGUUGGGAUACCACCCUUGCAGUAUUGGGUUUCUAACCAGCCGCCGUGACCCGGCGGUGGGACAAUGCCAGACGGGGAGUUUGACUGGGGCGGUCGCCUCCGAAAGGGUAUCGGAGGCGCCCAAAGGUUCCCUCAGGAUGGACGGAAACCAUCCAAAGAGUGCAAAGGCAGAAGGGAGCUUGACUGCGACACCGACGGGUGGAGCAGGUACGAAAGUAGGGCUUAGUGAUCCGGUGGUAUUAAGUGGGAAUGCCAUCGCUCAACGGAUAAAAGCUACCCUGGGAUAACAGGCUUAUCACUCCCAAGAGUUCACAUCGACGGAGUGGUUUGGCACCUCGAUGUCGGCUCAUCGCAUCCUGGGGCUGUAGUAGGUCCCAAGGGUUGGGCUGUUCGCCCAUUAAAGCGGUACGCGAGCUGGGUUCAGAACGUCGUGAGACAGUCCGGUCCCUAUCCGGCGUGGGCGUAGGAUAUCUGAGAGGAGCUGUCCUUAGUACGAGAGGACCGGGAUGGACGGGCCGCUGGUGCACCGGUUAGACUGCCAAGUCUAUAGCCGGGUAGCCAAGCCCGGAAGGGAUAAACGCUGAAGGCAUCUAAGCGUGAAGCCCCCCUCAAGAUGAGAUAUCCCAUCCGAAAGGAGUAAACCCCCUUGAAGACGACGAGGUUGAUAGGGCAGAGGUGGAAGUGUGGUAACACAUGGAGCUGACUGCUACUAAUAGGGUGAGGGCUUGACCG
RNAcentral lists this ribosomal RNA (1322 nucleotides) under metagenome. Its description in RNAcentral is "bacterial LSU rRNA". It matches the Rfam family "Bacterial large subunit ribosomal RNA", at positions 1586 to 2925 of the family's 2925-position model. The record is from RNAcentral.